GAUGAACGCUAGCGGGAGGCCUAACACAUGCAAGCCGAGCGGUAUUGUUCUUCGGAAAUGAGAGAGCGGCGUACGGGUGCGGAACACGUGUGCAACCUACCUUUAUCUGGAGGAUAGCCUUUCGAAAGGAAGAUUAAUACUCCAUAAUAUAUUGAUUGGCAUCAGUUGAUAUUGAAAGCUCCGGCGGAUAAAGAUGGGCACGCGCAAGAUUAGCUAGUUGGUGAGGUAACGGCUCACCAAGGCGAUGAUCUUUAGGGGGCCUGAGAGGGUGAUCCCCCACACUGGUACUGAGACACGGACCAGACUCCUACGGGAGGCAGCAGUGAGGAAUAUUGGUCAAUGGGUGCAAGCCUGAACCAGCCAUCCCGCGUGAAGGACGACUGCCCUAUGGGUUGUAAACUUCUUUUGUAUAGGGAUAAACCUACCCUCGUGAGGGUAGCUGAAGGUACUAUACGAAUAAGCACCGGCUAACUCCGUG
Molecule: ribosomal RNA, 478 nt
Filed under: uncultured bacterium
Lineage: Bacteria
Description: bacterial SSU rRNA
Rfam family: Bacterial small subunit ribosomal RNA
Source: RNAcentral